CACCACCCUUAUGCCAUGCCCCCUGUUCUACAGCUGGGACCAGGGAGGAGGCGGGAACUGCUGGAGUGCCCCGGUAGGGUCUGGCUGGCCUGGAAGUUGGAACCCUCAAGAGCAGAGAAGAAACCAGGUCAUUGCGGUGGGGCUGGCAGAACAGACACUUUCGUUAAUCCAUGUAUAAAUAAAUACAGGAGGGGGUGUGUGGCUCAGUGGUAGAGCACUUGCACAGGAAUGAGAAAAGCCCAGGGUUCCAGUCCCAUCACCACUAAAAAACAACACCACACACACACACACACACACACACACAAGAAAAAAGUAGAAAAAACUCCAAGGGACAUGAGAUGAGUGACCCUUAAUGCUGCCUGAGUAGCAGUAUUAAUAGGGGUAUAUAGAUUAAAUGAGCAUAUUAGCCUUGUUCUUUGGAAAGAAAUGGGGGCUCAGAGUGACAAAGUCACUAGCUUAAAUACAUGCAUCAUCAAAACUGCACCCCCUGGGAACACUGCCUUACUUUUUUUUUUUUUUUUAAGAAUUUUUUUUAAUAUUUAUUUUUUAGUUUUCGGCGGACACAACAUCUUUGUUUGUAUGUGGUGCUGAGGAUCGAACCCGGGCCACACGCAUGCCAGGCGAGCACGCUACCGCUUGAGCCACAUCCCCAGCCCACUGCCUUACUUCUAAUUAGUCUGCCUCCUAAAGUAAUGCUCACCCUCCCACAGCAGGGGUAUACCAACAGCCCUUCCUUGGGACUGGGAAUGGAACUCAGGCUCCCACUGCUGGUUCUGCUUUCAGGACUGGGUUCCCACCUUCUUCCCCCAUAAGACUGGAUUUAACAGGGAUCCUUCCAGUUCUAGUAACUGUUAACUGGGCCUUAAGUAGAGCCUGGUGCUUAGAACUUCACAUACUUUUAACUUGCACAGUCAUCUGGGCUGGUAGUCUUCCUUCCCAGGGAAGAGCACAACUGUUAAAUGACAUUGAACCCAGACUGGCCGAUGGUAUGGUAUAGAUGCUGAAAUGCAUGGCCACUUGUCAGGAUGUAGGGUGUUCUGAAACCUAUCCCCGCUCCUAGGGGCACCAAGCAUCCUCCGCUGCCCUUUGGAAACUUCUCAGGCAAGGAGUCAGCAGUGCAUGAAGUAAGGCCGCCACCUUGUGGUGAAAAUUAGUAAACACAGAGCAGAUUAUGCUAAGUGAAGCUAGCCAAUCCCUAAAAAACAAAUGCCAAAUGUCUUCUUUGAUAUAAGGAGAGUAACUAAGAUCAGAGUAGGGACGAAGAGCAGGAGAAGAAGAUUAACAUUUAACAGGGAUGAGAGGUGGGAGGGAAAGGGAGAGAGAAGGGAAAUUGCAUGGUAAUGGAAGGAGACCCUCAGGGUUAUACAGUGGAGGGGGUAGAGAGAGAGG
Molecule: long non-coding RNA, 1389 nt
Filed under: Marmota monax (woodchuck)
Lineage: Eukaryota; Metazoa; Chordata; Mammalia; Rodentia; Sciuridae
Source: RNAcentral